This 440-nucleotide ribosomal RNA is filed under the name uncultured bacterium. RNAcentral's name for it is "bacterial SSU rRNA". It matches the Rfam family "Bacterial small subunit ribosomal RNA", at positions 338 to 795 of the family's 1533-position model. The record is from RNAcentral.
CCUACGGGCGGCUGCAGUCGGGAAUUUUGCGCAAUGGGGGAAACCCUGACGCAGCAAUACCGCGUGUGGGAUGAAGGCCUUCGGGUCGUAAACCACUUUUCUCGGGGACGAUAAUGACGGUACCCGAGGAAUAAGCCACGGCUAACUACGUGCCAGCAGCCGCGGUAAUACGUAGGUGGCAAGCGUUGUCCGGAUUUACUGGGCGUAAAGCGCGCGCAGGCGGUGAACGAAGUCGAAAGUGAAAGCCCCGGGCUCAACUCGGGAACAGCUUUCGAAACCAGUUCACUUGAAGGUGGAAGAGGGAAGUGGAAUUCCGAGUGUAGCGGUGGAAUGCGCAGAUAUUCGGAGGAACACCAGAGGCGAAGGCGACUUCCUGGUCCAAUCUUGACGCUGAGGCGCGAAAGCUAGGGGAGCAAACAGGAUUAGAUACCCGAGUAGUC